UCCAGCAGCACAGCCCUUGGUCCAGGUUCAUUCCCAGAGAUGCCUCCUGUGGGCUGAGCGGGCAGCGUCUCAAGGUCUACUUACGCUUAUCCAGGGCUGUGGCCAGUGGGAGUGGGGGAGGGAGGCAGGUACGCCUCAUGCUGAACCACUCCUGGGAUGGCCUCGUGGCUCUCUCCGUGGCCCUUCCCAAUCUGUGGCUGCGGUGGUGGGGAACAGAGGGACCGGGAUGGGGGCUUCCAUCUUCCGUGGGCUGCUUAGACCCCAGCACAAGUGGCAGGGGCAGGGACACGAGGGAAUAUCCAGGGUAGCCUGGGAUGAUGGGUCUGUAGGGUGGAGAGAGGCAGGGGGUUCCAUGGAAACAGCAAGUGAGCCAGGACCAAAGGGGGAUACAGGAAGGCACAUCUGGACCUAAAGCCUGAGCUGUUCUCCAGUGGGAUGGGUGGCCUCUGGAGGGAGUGAGCUCUUUGUCCUCAGAGAUGAACAAGCAGAGAAAGAAGAAGGGAUUCCUGCUAUGGGUGGCAGGCUGGAUUCGAGACUGAGGAAGGUCCUUCCAGCUCGGGUAUGGUGGUUCAUGAGGAGGCUGGGAGACCAGAGGGGAGGCUGUCAUCAUGUCCUGAGACACAGAGAGACAUGGCGAGUGAAGCCUCGUUACUACGUGAGAUCAAACAGAAUGACUCUGAGGAUGGGACCUCAGGGAAAUGCAAUGAAGAAAAGAAGAUUCUAUUAUGGAGUCGGGACAAGCCGCUCUCAGCUUGCUGUUUACUAAGGACUCGCUCUGGUCCUCAGUAUCCUCUUCUGUUGAAUGGGAAUCAUUAACUUGUCCAGCCUGCUUCCUGGGAGGCUCAGAUGAGCCACACACACACACAUCCUCUCUCGCGCGCACAUGGGACAUGCUGACUUCUGCACCGGACUCCACAGUUUCCGGGUGUCUGUCUCUCCCCUACUCGUGGACACAACUCCCACACGAGCCCUCGGACACGCGGCCCACAGUCUGUUGCUUGGAUGUUCCCCACACACUCACCCCACCCCCAGACAUGCGCUCUUCUCCGUGAACGCGCAGAGAGUGGCACCAACUCCCCUGGCCGCGCCGCCAGCCCGAAGACCGUGACCGCUGCCUCGUGCCUGAGGAAGAUGUGCCCAAACGCCUCGGCUCUAGCUGCUCCUCCGGCACUCAUGUCCCCCCAUCCACACGUCCAUCCUCACACUCCGGCCUCCCCGUCAGGGCUGUCUUCAUGGGCGUGUGACCUGUGGUCAAGCCCUCAAGCCCUAGAAUGUUCUGAAGUUGCCAUCCUGAAAUCCUUAGUUUUUAAACAAGGGGCCCGCACUUUGAUUUUGCACCUCUCUGCCUGCAGCCCUCACCAGGCCACCGAACGUGAUGGAUGAGGGGACUACUGAAAGCAUCCUGUAGUUGUAUAACCCCCCCUCCUAGUGGGACCUUGGGGCUCAGUGUCCCCAUCUGUAAAGUGGACUCAGGAUAACACCCACCUCAGGGUUCUUUGUGAGGGUUAAAUGAGAUAGCAUCUGUAAAACACUUA
Ailuropoda melanoleuca (giant panda) is the source of this 1535-nucleotide long non-coding RNA. RefSeq lists it as uncharacterized. Lineage: Eukaryota; Metazoa; Chordata; Mammalia; Carnivora; Ursidae. The record is from RefSeq and is a predicted model, not a curated record. The transcript is spliced from 4 exons.